This 1402-nucleotide ribosomal RNA is filed under the name Salmonella enterica. RNAcentral describes it as "partial 23S ribosomal RNA". It matches the Rfam family "Bacterial large subunit ribosomal RNA", at positions 594 to 1895 of the family's 2925-position model. Lineage: Bacteria; Pseudomonadati; Pseudomonadota; Gammaproteobacteria; Enterobacterales; Enterobacteriaceae. The record is from RNAcentral.
UGACUGCGUACCUUUUGUAUAAUGGGUCAGCGACUUAUAUUCUGUAGCAAGGUUAACCGUAUAGGGGAGCCGGAGGGAAACCGAGUCUUAACCGGGCGUUAAGUUGCAGGGUAUAGACCCGAAACCCGGUGAUCUAGCCAUGGGCAGGUUGAAGGUUGGGUAACACUAACUGGAGGACCGAACCGACUAAUGUUGAAAAAUUAGCGGAUGACCUGUGGCUGGGGGUGAAAGGCCAAUCAAACCGGGAGAUAGCUGGUUCUCCCCGAAAGCUAUUUAGGUAGCGCCUCGUGAAUUCAUCUCCGGGGGUAGAGCACUGUUUCGGCUAGGGGGCCAUCCCGGCUUACCAACCCGAUGCAAACUGCGAAUACCGGAGAAUGUUAUCACGGGAGACACACGGCGGGUGCUAACGUCCGUCGUGAAGAGGGAAACAACCCAGACCGCCAGCUAAGGUCCCAAAGUCAUGGUUAAGUGGGAAACGAUGUGGGAAGGCCCAGACAGCCAGGAUGUUGGCUUAGAAGCAGCCAUCAUUUAAAGAAAGCGUAAUAGCUCACUGGUCGAGUCGGCCUGCGCGGAAGAUGUAACGGGGCUAAACCAUGCACCGAAGCUGCGGCAGCGAACGUAUCACCCAAGACAACUUUACGGAGUUGACGAUUGACGGAGCGAAGCGACGUCAAAGCGUUCAUUAAAGUCGAGUUGGCUUAGGGAUACGUUCGUUGGGUAGGGGAGCGUUCUGUAAGCCUGUGAAGGUGUGUCGUGAGGCAUGCUGGAGGUAUCAGAAGUGCGAAUGCUGACAUAAGUAACGAUAAAGCGGGUGAAAAGCCCGCUCGCCGGAAGACCAAGGGUUCCUGUCCAACGUUAAUCGGGGCAGGGUGAGUCGACCCCUAAGGCGAGGCCGAAAGGCGUAGUCGAUGGGAAACGGGUUAAUAUUCCCGUACUUGGUGUUACUGCGAAGGGGGGACGGAGAAGGCUAUGUUGGCCGGGCGACGGUUGUCCCGGUUUAAGCGUGUAGGUGUGUGUUCCAGGUAAAUCCGGUUCACUUUAACACUGAGGCGUGACGACGAGGCACUACGGUGCUGAAGCAACAAAUGCCCUGCUUCCAGGAAAAGCCUCUAAGCAUCAGGUAACACGAAAUCGUACCCCAAACCGACACAGGUGGUCAGGUAGAGAAUACCAAGGCGCUUGAGAGAACUCGGGUGAAGGAACUAGGCAAAAUGGUGCCGUAACUUCGGGAGAAGGCACGCUGACACGUAGGUGAAGUGAUUUACUCAUGGAGCUGAAGUCAGUCGAAGAUACCAGCUGGCUGCAACUGUUUAUUAAAAACACAGCACUGUGCAAACACGAAAGUGGACGUAUACGGUGUGACGCCUGCCCGGUGCCGGAAGGUUAAUUGAUGGGGUCAGCG